UCCGUAACUCGUAACCCAGUCCGACAUUCAUUCAUUUCAUGCCAAACUUUGUGCAUAGUGGACAUUUUGUAUGUCGUGGCAGAUAUCGUGAUUAAUUUCGCGUCAGAUAAUUAGUUUAUCUAACAUUUAUUUCUUUUGUUAAUUUUAUAUUAGUUUCUUCAAGAUGUCUCGGUACCGUGAAUGGGAUCUAUCUUGCAAAGUGUACGUAGGAAAUCUUGGCACAAACGCAUCUAAAUACGAAAUUGAAAAAGUCUUUUCAAAAUAUGGCAGUAUUAGAAAUGUGUGGGUGGCGAGAAAUCCGCCCGGUUUUGCGUUUGUUGAAUAUGAAGAUCCGAGAGACGCCGAAGAUUCCGUACGCGGUUUAGAUGGCACACGUUGUUGCGGCACAAGAAUUCGUGUUGAGAUGAGCAACGGGAGGACACGACGAGAUCGCAGGUCCAUUUUAUCAACCAACCACCAACACACCAACGACCUCACCACAUCUCUACACCACAACUACGGCUUCUUUACCAAUAAGACAUCCGCGAACGUCGCUCGCAACACCCCGCUCUGCGAUCGGCUCUCCAAAUUACUACGCGCAGCUGAAGCCUUCGUCAACUGCGUCCCUCCCCUCCUCUUAACUGCCAUCACCUAGUCCCUAACCCUAACCAAGACCUAACAGUUCUAAAGAUGAGCCACUGUAGGAACCUAGUAUCCUGUACCUUUGCAAAAUCCUGAUGCUUCACGACUGCACACUUUCGCCGUCACCGAGGCACGGAACUAGGAAUUCGACUAACGGAGCUCGACUCUUCCCCGUGUCCGCAAUUUGUACUCGAAACUCCCGGUUUAAUCAUCAUUCGAAGAUCAUGUUGCAACUUGCUCCGCCUCGAUAGUCAAACCCCCUCCGGCCUCACAGCAGCUCUCACAACGCUCGACGACCUACAGGCUCACCAAGUCUCGAACCCGCAGUCGCAGCCCCCGGCGUCGGUCUUACUCGCGAGGUCGCUCGGGCUCCCGCCGCCGGUCGCCGUCAGUGAGACGCUCCCGGUCGCGCGACCGCCGCAGUCGUUCUGAUAGCAAGACCAGGUACAUAAGUCCCGAGAAAAGUCCCUACCGCCGUUCCGCGUCACGCUCCAGGUCGAAGGAGCGCCGCAGCAGAUCACUCAGUAGGAACAG
RNA transcript from Danaus plexippus (monarch butterfly), 1155 nucleotides. It is a transcript of the gene named RNA-binding protein 1-like, with no coding region annotated. The record is from RefSeq and is a predicted model, not a curated record. Lineage: Eukaryota; Metazoa; Arthropoda; Insecta; Lepidoptera; Nymphalidae. The transcript has 5 exons.